UUAAUGGAGAGUUUGAUCCUGGCUCAGGACGAACGCUGGCGGCGUGCCUAAUACAUGCAAGUCGAGCGAGGGUCUUCGGACCCUAGCGGCGGACGGGUGAGUAACACGUAGGCAACCUGCCUGUAAGACUGGGAUAACAUAGGGAAACUUAUGCUAAUACCGGAUAGGGUUUUGCUUCGCCUGAAGCGAAACGGAAAGAUGGCGCAAGCUAUCACUUACAGAUGGGCCUGCGGCGCAUUAGCUAGUUGGUGAGGUAAUGGCUCACCAAGGCGACGAUGCGUAGCCGACCUGAGAGGGUGACCGGCCACACUGGGACUGAGACACGGCCCAGACUCCUACGGGAGGCAGCAGUAGGGAAUUUUCCACAAUGGACGAAAGUCUGAUGGAGCAACGCCGCGUGAACGAUGAAGGCUUUCGGGUCGUAAAGUUCUGUUGUUAGGGAAGAAACAGUGCUAUUUAAAUAAG
RNAcentral lists this ribosomal RNA (465 nucleotides) under Brevibacillus laterosporus. RNAcentral's name for it is "bacterial SSU rRNA". It matches the Rfam family "Bacterial small subunit ribosomal RNA", at positions 1 to 468 of the family's 1533-position model. The record is from RNAcentral. Lineage: Bacteria; Bacillati; Bacillota; Bacilli; Caryophanales; Paenibacillaceae.